AAGUCGUAACAAGGUUUUCAUGAAACACCAUACUGAAGCCUUGAUCCCAGUCUAUUAUAUAGGCAACACCUUUAAUGUGCUUGGAUACCUAAAGGUAACAAGCAGCUGCUAACUGCAGUUCACAGAUCAAACAAAGGUGGUCCUUAGGUGCUACUGCAUGCUUAGCUGUAGGAUUUAGAUAUGACCGGCCUACUCUUGUAAAAACUAGUAGAGUUUGUGUUCCGUAGGUGAACCUGCGGAAGGAUCAUUACAGAGAACAUGCCCUUUAGGGUAUAUCUCCCACCCUUUGUCUAUAAUAUC
Molecule: unclassified non-coding RNA, 300 nt
Filed under: Helotiales sp.
Lineage: Eukaryota; Fungi; Ascomycota; Leotiomycetes; Helotiales
Description: partial contains small subunit ribosomal RNA and internal transcribed spacer 1
Source: RNAcentral